RNAcentral lists this long non-coding RNA (1225 nucleotides) under Malus domestica (apple). RNAcentral describes it as "long non-coding RNA (MDOM_LNC020822)". The record is from RNAcentral. Lineage: Eukaryota; Viridiplantae; Streptophyta; Magnoliopsida; Rosales; Rosaceae.
AGCAUCUUAAGGGUCCAAAACGUGGUUGUUCAGAUUUUAGGCGAAUUUUACCAUUUAAUUUAGGGUUAUGCUUCCUAUUUUAUUUUGGUUAUCUUAGUUUCCUAGUUGGAAUAAAGGACCUGGUUUUUAGGGUUUUGCGGGGGGGGGGGGGGGGGGGGGGGGGGGGCAUAGUAGAUAUAUUGCUUUGCCAUUCUCACUUUUUGGCUGCGCUUUGUUUUUUGCAACUUUGGAGACCGAGAGAAUUGUUAGGGUUCUUGGAGAUUUUCUACUUGAAGUUUCAAUCCUUUUCUUAAUAAUAUUUUCUAUGAUUUUAAUUAUGAAUAUGCGUAACUAAUUCAUUUUGCUAGGGCGAAGCCGUGAGCCUUAGCAUGAAUAUGUGAUUUUUUUAUUUAAUUGCUUAUGAUUGAUUGCAUGCAUAGUUUGAAUUAUUAAUCACCAUGAUUAAAACUAUCUAAUUGUCUUAGUGCUUGACCACCAUUAGGAUCUUUAGAAAAGUAAUUUGAUGCAAUUUUGGUUGGAAGGUUCCCUGAAAUUGACGCUGGCUUCUUGUGAUUAAUAAUUGUAAUUUCACUUAGGAUGAACACCACGUCUUAAGGGUUGCAUGGUUUUUCAAAGGGUUUUCAUAGAGCAUAAUUAGUCUUUCAUGUUCAGAUUUGAUCCGAACGUCCAAACGGGUUGCAUGUUAGAUAUACAUUCUAUGUUGUAGGUUCCAAGUAGAAUAUGGAUUAGGAAAAUCUAACCUUCAAAGUGGCAUGUGUAGAUCAUAAGUAAUUGGUAAAAGUUCAUAGGAUUGUUAGGUGAUGGUGGAACCCUAGUGCUUUCUUAAUUUGAUUUCUCCAAAAUUGGUUCCUUUUCUUUCAUCUUUAAUAUUGCAGAUUAGUUUACUUUUAUUAAUUAAAUUCAUUUUUAAUUUAAGUAGGUUAUAAAAUCAAUCAUCUCAAUUUCUACUUUACAAUAAUUAAUUGGAAUUUGGUCUGUUUUGAAUUAUUUAAUAAUCCAUGUGGAGAACAGCUUUACAAGAUCUGUUUAUACUACAAUAACCUUGUAAUUCUUGCAAGUAUUAUAGGAGUUUUUAGUCCGUUCAUGUGUGUAGUAAAAUCCCUAUCAAGUGUGUGGUGAGCGGGUAUGAACCCAUUUCACACGUGAUGAUAAAGCAUAAGUACAGUACAGUAAAAUAGGGUGAGAAUUAUACCAUCGAUGGUAAUCGUCUAUCCAAGAUUUGCCA